AGAAGACGUAACGGAGCCAAACGUUUGGUCAAAAACACGUAUUUCACCUUUGAAACUAAAGUUAACCAGAAUACUAACAGUUGCUAUUACAUCCGUUGUGUCGAGCACAAAAUCAAACGAUUUGACGUUAUAGGAAACAAUCGAUCACUUGAUGCGACCAAGUUUCUGCUCAUUUCGAGCCGCAAUUGCGAGAAUAAGCUGCCUUCCCAUUCUAUUUUUAAAUCAGCACGAAUGUUAAGAAACUGGACAUUUCAAGAGAUUACGUUGCAGCGGUUGUAUUGUCAAUGAUGAAAAAAAAAAGAAAAGAAAAAAAAAGAGGCUGCAACCCAGGAUUUUUCGACGGUGUUGAUCUCAUCUCGGAGACAUUCGUAACUGGUUCGUGUUUUCAGACAAGCAAGUAGAAUACUGCAUUAUCCCGUAUGCCUCCUUCGAUGCCACUGUCAGUCACAGUUUCUAACAAUAGAAGCCGAGUUGCACCCUAUUCCCGUCACUGCCGUAAAAAGCGUCAAUCUUCUAUUGAUAUCGUAGUUUCCCGGUCACUGUCAAAAUACUGCGCAAUAUUUGCCUCUCGCUCUCUCCCUCUCUCCUGUUUGUCUCUAUUUUUUCUUUUUUUUUAUUUCUUUUUGCCAACUACCCUUUCAAAUGAAUUACAGAAAUAGCAUGGCCGGUGAUAUAUGGAAAUGACGACAAAUUGCCGCUUCCUCUCUCUCAACCGGCCAUUGGUUUCAUAAACCACUCUAACCUUAGAGUGAAAUUAACAUUUUCUUCCCAGACGAAAACUUUCUAUUUACUCGAAUAAAAUGACGCUGUCAUUUUACGUGACAGCAAGCCAGACAUACAGUCACGGGUGUGUGAAUAUAUUUCACUGUUGUUUUUCAUUUUAGUUUUCUUUUUUUUUUUUUUUUUGGCGUGUGUUGUCUACUACUAUCCUACUACCGUGUUAAAGUUUUAGAAAAUGGAAGUGAGAAUUAUUUUUUGUUGUUGUUGCUUGAGCUGACUACUUUGGGCAUAGUAGGAGACAAAGCAAGAUAAACGAACAGUGAAAAACAUACAUUGAAAGAUGCUUACACCCACGUCUGUGUAGAUACAUAAGAUGCUGCCCUGGAUUUACGUCAAUUUAGUGGUAUCGAUUUCGUAUGUUCGGACUUGACGUGUGUUUAUGAUGACAAGGAUCGCAGAACUGAAGAAGACAACUUGAGAUUUCAAAAUAGAGCAUUCAAAAGGCUUCAUGAUAUAGUUUUCCAAAAGAAGGCCAACAUUCUUGAAACUCGAAUUGAAAAAAAAAUUAAAGGAAAUCGUUACAAUUUAUAUAAUAACGUUAAACAAUUGAUACAUAUACCUGCGUAUCAAACGUGCUGCGCAAACUCCGUCAAUCCGUCAUCAUAGAAUCGAUUAGCCUUCGUCUGCUGGUUGCAGCGUGGAAUCCAUCGCAAACCGAUCGAUGACCAGAGUGCCAUUCUGCCAUUAACUUUUAGUAAUUAUUAGAAUAAUGCCAUAAUAACAUUUUCUUUUUAAAUAUAGGAUUUAUGAAAAAUCUUUUUUUUUUUUUUUUUUUUUGUUUUGUGUCAUUUUAUUGGCUCUACGAAUAUAGGAGUCAUUUCAUGAACGUAUUGCCUAUCCUUUUCACACAGUUUUUAGACCAUCAAUCACGCAUAAGUGCGACAAUGAAACCACCGUACGAAAAAAACCAACGACGUUAAAUCUUUCUUCAUUUUUUCCCCCCUUUUUCGCAUGCAGCAGACUUUAAGCCUAUUCGCCUUUUAUUCGUUUAUUGCAGCGGCAGAAUAGAAUUGAUUUAAACUGAAGAAAUCCCAACCGUAGCUGGAGGGGGAAAAAACUGCAUCACAUUAAAAGUCACACGUUUCCAUCACGCAAUUUUCGUUUGAAUUAAAAAGCCCUUCACGAUCGGAUGUCAUACUCGCUCUCGGUUGGUGGCGCGUUGUGGAUGUUGUUUUUCUUCUAUUCCAUUUCUUUGUUAUAGCUAGGUGAUCGGUAGAUGCCUAUAUAAUUGAAUUUAACAGAGGAAAUUUAAUGCUAUCCGUCUAAAUAAAGUCAGCACGUGACUCACUUCAUUUCGAAUCGUACAAGACGGUGUCAUCGCCUUUUCAAAUGUAUCCCAUCGAUUGGACUGUCUAAAUGAUGAAAUGCAACUUUGAGUGAAAUGCAUUCGCAUUACUCGCAAUUAUCGCCCUGCUAACUUUUACGUUAACUUGCCGUUGUAUUAUAUGUAUAUUGAUCUGCCUUAAGUCACCCUCGCUGUGCUGCUCUCUCGCACACAGCCAUUUUAAGUGAUGAAGGCAUAGCAUAAUAUUCCAUCAUCAAAAAUGUGACACAACAAACUUUAGAAGAAAAAAAACAAACAAAAGUUUGUGGUUAUUGGUUGUUAAAGCUAUUGGCCGUUGAUUGAUGAUGUCAUUCUCGGUUGUUUGAUGAUGUAUAUAAUAACUUGUUGAUGGUCAACCCAAUCUGAUGGAAUUGAAGUAGAUAGAGAACACCAUUUUCUAGGAAUAAUUCAACACUAUUGGCUGUUAGAUAAGGGGAACACAAAAUCAAAAUCAAUUAUAAAACUGUCGGUAAGAAAUGUGUCCUAGCUUAUUUUCUGAAUACAUUUAAACAACGAGAUUUUCUGCGCCCAGGAUGUACAAAAGUUUUUCAAUUUCGGUUAAAAUUCAAAUGUCAGUUUUAAACUUGGAUUCUAUAGACACUAUACCUGUUAUGUGCAGUUUUGAUUAAUUUCUCUUUUUUUUUGCUGGUGUAAUGGCGGAUAUUUUAAAAAGAAAAUCCAAACUUUUUUGGUUUUGUUGAUUUAUGGAGAAAAAAAAACCCUGAAACAAGAACUGGGAAUCUUUAUUUAUAAUGUUUCGGGCUUCUAUCUUUGCGAAACCUCCUUGCGCAAUAGUGUUACGAAUAAGUAAGCUCAUUUGUCUACGCUGCCCCAUGCAAAUAAGGUUUCCUCGGUAAUCCAUUGAAAUGUGCGCGCUGAUAAAAUGUACAAAAAAUGUAAAUAGAAAGGAUAGGGUCGGGGCACUUUCGUAUCGUCUAGCUCCGUAAUAAAAUAAUUCGGCAGAUGAGCUGGGAGAGUCUUCUCUAAUUUGAUUAAAAACGGGACAGUAUUCCGCCCUGGCAACGCUGCGACCAGUUGGUACAUUUCUGGAUGUCUACAGUGUAGUGAAAACAACUGUUUGGCCGGCAUAUGUACGUACGUACAGUACUAUAUACUGUAAAUAAAGGGAUGUUCCCCACAGUUAAAGAGAGGAGGGAAGGGAUGGAGAAACGGAAUGCACCAUAUCUUUAAAUAGAGCUAGAAUUACGUCUAAUGGGCUGUAAUUUCAUAUCUGUUUCUAUGGAAAAUCUAUAUUGACAGUUUCGUGUCACCUUGCUCCUAUCUCACACGUCGAUUGCUGAGCACAUGAAUGAAUAAGAAGCGCCUCUCUUCACAAGUGGUUGUACCAACCCCUUGAUCCGUGUAGCCAAAUCAAACACCCAACGAUUAGCAGUAAAAAAUCCAAUGAGAAAACAGAAAAAUGAAAGGCUACGCCUUCCUUAGAUUUGAACUCCUGGAAUACACAACAUGGUUGUAGACAGACAUUAUCUUGCGAAAUAAAGAUAGAGUACGACUGUUUUGGCUGAUUGCAAACAAUCAACAUUAUACAUCGAGCUGCACACAGAAAUCCAUGCAACGUGUGUUUAUUUAAUAGCCACUAUACGAAUGUACAUAGUGACUGCGGCAAUCCGCUAUUGAAAUGACUAUCUAAAAGUAAAGGGGAUGCAGAUACCUUUCUUGUUUGUUCAUCCACCGGUGAAAUGACUUUCAUCCCGCUGGUCAAGGCCUUAAAAAAAAUAUAUAGCAAAGCCUGCAGGGCAAGAUCGGUGUUCCAGCACACUUGCGAGCUAGAAGAAUGAGCUUGGCAGAGAAGCAAGCGAGGCCAUAUAAGGCUACUUCGAUAGACGACUCGAGAAAAUCUUUAACCCAUGCAAGUUUAUCGUACAAAACAGAAAGAGAAAAGAAAAAGAAAAAAAAAAGACAUGGAAGUGGCCGACGUAAUACCACCAUAUACAGCAAGCGUGACGUAGUGCUCAGAUUUUUAUCUCUCCCCACCUGAGUGAAUGAAUUUUCUUUAUGCUGCAUGCGGCUAAAAAUUCAUUGACACUAAUGCAGCCAUUGGAGGCUGGUGUUAACUAACUCUUUGCCACGGUUAUUGGUUGGCGCAUACCGCAUCAGCAUAUUUGAACAAAAAAUAAAUAAAAUCCCGCCAUCCCAUUUGAAAUAAUUGGCCGCGUGCAAAUUUAUGUUUAUUUUUCAUCUCACUAAAACUUGCUGUCGCAUACGGUGCGAAUAGCUGUUUUGUGUGCCGUGUUAAAAGGUUAUUAUUAUUUUUUUUUUUCAGACUUUUCAUUUUUGGACGACAAGAGACGCUUUUUCCUUGACCUAAUCGGGUCAUUCAGUUCAAAACAUUUCUUGGAUUUUCUUUCCCAGUUGCCGCAACAUUAUGCGAUCAUCCAAUUUGAAAGUGUAUAGCUCGAGAAAGCUUUUACAUUUCACAUUUUUUUUUCUUUCUUUCCCCCCCUUUUUUUAUUUUCUUUGGCCGCAAUUGUACGUGACGGUGGUUUCAAAUUGUCAAAGUGUUUUCAAAAAAGCUGGCUUGAGUCCGCUUGAGUCCGCUUGAGUCUACUCCGUUUUUAUUGCAUAUUUGCACAUCUCCCAAAGGGCGACAGUUCCAAGCAUUGUUCACCCACGCAACAUUGUUGACGACAACCGAGACAUUCUACAAAUGUGCGGUACACACUUAACGUAACGUUUGGCCUCAAAAGUCAAUCAACGACGUUGUUUGCGAGAGUCUUGUUCGAUUUCUUCGUAAUUCACGAAACAGACACUUUUAGCAGCGACACGUGUGCGUCAUCUAUUUAGGAAAUAUAAUGACAGCAAGAUGACACACUGACGUGAGAGAAAGUAGCUUCAUAUAAUAGGUCGUUCGGCAAAACGACAAAGGUAUGGUUGUCUUUACGGUAAAAAGAGGACACACAUGCCAUGACCUUCUCCCGUCUUAUGCUCUUCCAUUUUCAUUGUUCUUCGUCAUGUGCUCAUCCAUUUAUACAAGGAUGAAAAGACGAAUGUCGUUAAUACUUUCUACACAAGGUUGCCAUACAACGAAAGCUAUGGCACUUUCCUGCGUUAAACAAGAACGAAGAUACUAAACAGCUGGUAGUUGUAUGUUGUGCGUUUAGCAUCGUAGAACCUGAGCAGUCCGAUCAACUGGUAAAAUGGUUACUCAGUAUAUGGCCGGCAACAAGUCAUACGAAUAACAAAAUCAAUCACCGUGUUACGGUGAAGGGGUGGAGGAGUAAAACGAACCCAAGUGAAACGUUUUGGCCUUGCUCUUUUUUUAAAUCAAAAUAGCUUUUGAUUGUGACAAGAGACACAGGAAAAUGACAUUAGGUCUCAUUUUUCCCUUAGCGAUUACUAGGUACCCAUGUCUUGCAUCCGCCCACCUAUUUUUGUCUCGUUUAUUAUUAUUAUUAUUAUUAGUAUUAUUUAUUUCGUUUCAAAAAAUGAAUCGUUUCAUCUGUAUAGUUGGCGUUCAUCAUCGUCUAUCGAUCUAUCCGACCGUCAUGUCUGGGUGAGCACGAGUUGUCGGUGCUUGCCUUACCGAACAAAAAAUCAAUGGGGUAUAGGCUUCGCUUCCGUAUAUAUUCGACUCGGGUUUGCGCACGCAACGGCUAUAGUCAAAAGCCUUUUCUGCUGCUGCUUUGCUGGCUGGCUGGCUCGCUUUGCUACUUCUUCGUCAGCGGCGCUCUAGUCUUUCCUUGCAACAAGGCAACACUCGACCUGCGCCUCUUUUUCCUUCCUCUACGUAUUGAUUUGCUACCCAUCCCUAGAACCACCUGGAUGACGCGCAGCGGAUAAUGUAUAUCGUACGUACGGAGGACGACGACGACGACGACGACGCUGAUGGACCCUCCAUUUUCCCCCGACUGCAUCUAGUCAAUUAUCAAGGGUUUACACCUUUUGUCAAGCAUAAUUUUCAUAGUUCAUCAAAGUUUGUAGCUAUAGAAGCCUUUACAACCAUGUUUUGGAAAGCAAUGCCGUUAUGUAUUAUUAACGUGCAUUGCUGGGUAUAUAAUAAUUGGGGGAGGGGGAGAAUCAAAGAGCAGAGCGUUAGGCCGUUUGAUCACGACCCUGACUGGCCUUAUUUCAUCAGAUGGACAUUUUUAUUCCUUCUUUGGCCCGGUAUAGUCUCAUGGACAAAGUAUGUCUAUCCCCUUCUACAGUUGUGGCCUUUUUUUUUUUUUUACGCAUAUGGAUAGCAAGGUUUUUUUUUUUAUUCGCCAUCUCGCAUUCUCUUGUUUCCUGCGGCGAAAAAAGAAAAAGAAAUGGAGAGUCAUCAUCGACGGCAUCAAUAUUAUUUUCUAGGAGUUACCAACGACAAAAAAAGAAAGAAAAAAGGAAUUAACGUACAGUACGUAUGCGGUUAGGGUUUCGUCUUCGAGACAUUCCUAUUGGACUCUUUCUUACAAAAAAAAAAAGGAAAAAGGAAACGUCUUACGUGCGUCUGGAAAACCAAAACAUAUUCUUGUGUUUUCGCCAUGGCAGACGAACGCGUGCAACAAUAGUAAUAGAUGCCAUACCGCCGUUAUUUAGGGCAAGGAUAGAAAAA
Molecule: long non-coding RNA, 6656 nt
Organism: Daphnia magna
Lineage: Eukaryota; Metazoa; Arthropoda; Branchiopoda; Diplostraca; Daphniidae
Exons: 2
Source: RefSeq, a predicted model, not a curated record